This 497-nucleotide ribosomal RNA is filed under the name uncultured bacterium. Its description in RNAcentral is "partial 16S ribosomal RNA". It matches the Rfam family "Bacterial small subunit ribosomal RNA", at positions 28 to 507 of the family's 1533-position model. The record is from RNAcentral.
GAUGAACGCUGGCGGCGUGCCUAAUACAUGCAAGUCGAGCGAACAGAUAAGGAGCUUGCUCCUUUGACGUUAGCGGCGGACGGGUGAGUAACACGUGGGUAACCUACCUAUAAGACUGGAAUAACUCCGGGAAACCGGGGCUAAUGCCGGAUAACAUUUAGAACCGCAUGGUUCUAAAGUGAAAGAUGGUUUUACUAUCACUUAUAGAUGGACCCGCGCCGUAUUAGCUAGUUGGUAAGGUAACGGCUUACCAAGGCAACGAUACGUAGCCGACCUGAGAGGGUGAUCUGCCACACUGGAACUGAGACACGGUCCAGACUCCUACGGGAGGCAGCAGUAGGGAAUCUUCCGCAAUGGGCGAAAGCCUGACGGAGCAACGCCGCGUGAGUGGUGAAGGUCUUCGGAUCGUAAAACUCUGUUAUUAGGGAAGAACAAAUGUGUAAGUAACUGUGCACGUCUUGACGGUACCUAAUCAGAAAGCCACGGCUAACUACGUG